This 165-nucleotide ribosomal RNA is filed under the name uncultured bacterium. Its description in RNAcentral is "partial 16S ribosomal RNA". It matches the Rfam family "Bacterial small subunit ribosomal RNA", at positions 355 to 511 of the family's 1533-position model. The record is from RNAcentral.
UAGGGAAUCUUCGGCAAUGGACGAAAGUCUGACCGAGCAACGCCGCGUGAGUGAAGAAGGUUUUCGGAUCGUAAAACUCUGUUGGUAGAGAAGAACGUUGGUGAGAGUGGAAAGCUCAUCAAGUGACGGUAACUACCCAGAAAGUGACGGCUAACUACGUGCCGG